UCCGUAGGCGGUUCUUUAAGUCAGUGGUGAAAUCCCAGAGCUCAACUCUGGAACUGCCAUUGAAACUGAAGAACUUGAAUAUGGUUGAGGUAGGCGGAAUACGUUAUGUAGCGGUGAAAUGCAUAGAUAUAACGUAGAACACCAAUUGCGAAGGCAGCUUACUAAACCAUUAUUGACGCUGAUGGACGAAAGCGUGGGGAGCGAACAGGAUUAGAUACCCGAGUAGUCC
Molecule: ribosomal RNA, 229 nt
Filed under: uncultured bacterium
Lineage: Bacteria
Description: partial 16S ribosomal RNA
Rfam family: Bacterial small subunit ribosomal RNA
Source: RNAcentral